AUUGAACGCUGGCGGAAUGCUUUACACAUGCAAGUCGAACGAUGAACCCUAGCUUGCUAGGGGGAUUAGUGGCGGACGGGUGAGUAAUAUAUCGGAACGUGUCCAUUAAUGGGGGAUAACUAGCCGAAAGGUUGGCUAAUACCGCAUACGCCCUGAGGGGGAAAGCUGGGGAUCUUCGGACCUGGCGUUAAUGGAGCGGCCGAUACCUGAUUAGCUAGUUGGUGGGGUAACGGCCUACCAAGGCAACGAUCAGUAGCUGGUCUGAGAGGACGACCAGCCACACUGGGACUGAGACACGGCCCAG
RNAcentral lists this ribosomal RNA (304 nucleotides) under uncultured Methylotenera sp. RNAcentral describes it as "bacterial SSU rRNA". It matches the Rfam family "Bacterial small subunit ribosomal RNA", at positions 30 to 334 of the family's 1533-position model. Lineage: Bacteria; Pseudomonadati; Pseudomonadota; Betaproteobacteria; Nitrosomonadales; Methylophilaceae. The record is from RNAcentral.